UUAUAGUUUAUGAUAGAUACACUUCUUAUUUGUAAGCUCUUGAAGUUAUCCAGACAGAACGUUUUGAUAAUCAAGUAAUUUGCAGGGUAGUUGCGAUGCAAAUUGAGGGUGAUGAAAAACUAGAUUUUUUUUUCAACUUCUACAGGUAUUACCCAUUGAUUUUUUGUCUCAACUUUUACAAGCUUAUGAUUGUACAAAUCAUGAAUUAGAAGUUGGAGGGUGCAACACUUUAAUCCCACAAAUAUUUUCUUACGUAUGUUUCCUUACUUGGUUGUGGAAUUCCAUAUAAAAAAUUCUUGUUUUUUAUCUGCUAAGAGGCAUUGUUGUACUUUGUUGGUCCACCAAGGGUUAGGAAGAUAUUUUUGGCUUCAUCAAUUUCAGUUACUCUGGGCAGAAAGUUUGUAUGCAUCUUCCUUGGUGGUGUCAAGGAUGAGACUGAUAUUAGAGGUCAUCGGAGAACUUACAUUAGAAGCAUGCUCUCAUGCCCAAUUGAUGGGUUAAAGGUGCAGAGUGAACCUUCUACUAGCCUGAUGUCGCUUUUAGUAUUUAUUGCGACUUAUAUGUGCUGGUUGUCUAACCAAUGGACCUGGAUUCACAUAUUUAUAUAUGAUUCUAUUGUCAAAGAAUUACCUCUUCCAUUUUCAUUUCAAUUGUUGUUGGAUCGCUUGUUCGCCUUAAUGAAAUAAAUUAUUAUUAAGAUUUGCAAUGUAGGAAUAUUUUUUAAGUUGUGAUUGUCUAUUAUAAAGACAUUAAGAUAUGUUAUAUGCUCUCACGAACUAUGUUUUACAAACUGAAAUUUUUCUUUCCAACAUCUGCAGUGAUUCUCAAGUUGCAACUUAUUUUUAUCCAUUGACUGAUUGUCUCAAGUUUUACAAGAUUAUAAUUGUACAAAGCAUGAAACUAAGAAGCUGGAGGGCGCGACUGCAGAAACAUUUGAUACUACAGAAGCUCUAAAAGUUUUCAUAUUCAUAAC
This 973-nucleotide long non-coding RNA is filed under the name Nicotiana tabacum (common tobacco). RNAcentral describes it as "long non-coding RNA (NTAB_LNC013157)". The record is from RNAcentral. Lineage: Eukaryota; Viridiplantae; Streptophyta; Magnoliopsida; Solanales; Solanaceae.